This 301-nucleotide ribosomal RNA is filed under the name uncultured bacterium. Its description in RNAcentral is "partial 16S ribosomal RNA". It matches the Rfam family "Bacterial small subunit ribosomal RNA", at positions 509 to 807 of the family's 1533-position model. The record is from RNAcentral.
CAGCCGCCGCGGGAAUACAGAGGGUGCGAGCGUUAAUCGGAUUUACUGGGCGUAAAGCGUGCGUAGGCGGCUUUUUAAGUCGGAUGUGAAAUCCCUGAGCUUAACUUAGGAAUUGCAUUCGAUACUGGGAAGCUAGAGUAUGGGAGAGGAUGGUAGAAUUCCAGGUGUAGCGGUGAAAUGCGUAGAGAUCUGGAGGAUUACCGAUGGCGAAGGCAGCCAUCUGGCCUAAUACUGACGCUGAGGUACGAAAGCAUGGGGAGCAAACAGGAUUAGAGACCCCAGUAGUCCCUGUCUCUUAUAC